UAGAGAGAAUGGCUUUUCUUACGGGGCGGCGAAAGGUUAUUACAGCUGAGAAGCAGUGGAUGGGAGAAAUUGAGUGUUUGGUCUUAAGGAGGGGAUCAAAAACCACUCCUUUAGACCGGAAGAUCUGGGCUGCUGCUUUGACACUGAUAGACGUAAACAGUGCCCAGUUCGGAUUAAAGUUCUACAGCGACAGAACUUUGCGCCGAGGAGCUGGAUUGACAGCAGAUCGCCCCCCCCCCCCGCAAUGGACCUCGAAGGAGCUUGAGGAAGUAUCCAUGUUCUUCCUUCUUUUAUCCCAACACCAACCCUAUAAGGAGUCCCAGAGGAGCAUCCUGACGGAAGAGGCCAUGGGACACAUUCAUGCAUCCUCUACAGGCAGGAAAAAUGAGAAUUCCAAUGUUCAAAAGACCAUUUUCGAAGUUGCCCCGCUAAGCAAGUUCCCCACAUAGUAGAAGAAUAUGCCAAACUCCAUAGAAACAUAUAGAAAAGGAAAAGAAAAGUGGACAUGUGUUUAAUUUGAUUUACCAAUUCAGGAAAUCUCAGAAACUUCUUCAAACAUUCACGCAAGCAAGUCUACAGGAGUUGCUAGUCCACAAGAAGUUUGAAUAGUCUCCCUGUGUUACUAACCUGUAGCAUGUCAGUCACCUGAAAGACAGACAGAACCAUCUCUCUUCCAAUUUAUAUUGUUAUUAUCACUAUUCAAGAGAUUUAGAUUUAAAAAAAAAACAUUGUAGAUCACAUGUGGUUUUCUACUGGUGACAGACACCUGUGAAGUGCUUACUGCAAAAUGGGAAAAACAUGGCUUGGAAUAUGACUGUAUAUUCUGCUUUAAUAAUGCUUAUCCAGCUCUCAGAGAAUGUUGUUAAGUCAAGUUCUCAUUCAUUGAUCCAGGCUUGGUUAAUACGCCUUACCUUUUUCAUUUUCAGCCAUAUAUAGGAUCCCCCCUUGUCUGUCCUGCCCAAACCAUAUAUUCAGUCUUUCUUGGUGUUCUUCUUAGCCUCCAGCAACUUUUAUAUACCAACUUUGCUUAAAAUGGUGGAUGCAUAAUAAUUCCAUUCUUUUAUAUACAUAACUAAACUAAUGCUACGUAUAGAUUACUGCUAGUAUUGCUGCUGUGUUUCGUAUUCAUACCCAGCAAGCCGGACAUUUCACAUCUUUCCUAAUUCCAUUGUUGUUUUCUCAUAAAUGAUGUUUAAUAUCA
This is a long non-coding RNA of Eublepharis macularius, 1201 nucleotides long. RefSeq lists it as uncharacterized. The record is from RefSeq and is a predicted model, not a curated record. NCBI's taxonomy places the organism in Eukaryota, Metazoa, Chordata, Lepidosauria, Squamata, Eublepharidae. The transcript is spliced from 5 exons.